GGUGAACGCUGGCGGCGUGCUUAAGACAUGCAAGUCGAACGCAGUCUUCGGACUGAGUGGCGCACGGGUGAGUAACACGUAACUGACCUACCCCCAAGUCGCGGAUAACUGGCCGAAAGGUCAGCUAAUACGUGAUGUGAUGUCCCCUUUCUGGGGGGCCAUUAAAGGUUUACUGCUUGGGGAUGGGGUUGCGUUCCAUCAGCUAGUUGGCGGGGUAAAGGCCCACCAAGGCAGCGACGGAUAGCCGGCCGGAGAGGGUGGCCGGCCACAGGGGCACUGGGACACGGGUCCCACUCCUACGGGAGGCAGCAGUUAGGAAUCUUCCACAAUGGGCGAAAGCCUGAUGGAGCGACGCCGCGUGAGGGAUGAAGGUUCUCGGAUCGUAAACCUCUGAAUCAGGGACGAAAGACGCGUAAGCGGGAUGACGGUACCUGAGUAAUAGCACCGGCUAACUCCGUGCCAGCCGCCGCCGUAA
This 475-nucleotide ribosomal RNA is filed under the name uncultured bacterium. Its description in RNAcentral is "partial 16S ribosomal RNA". It matches the Rfam family "Bacterial small subunit ribosomal RNA", at positions 28 to 523 of the family's 1533-position model. The record is from RNAcentral.